This 459-nucleotide ribosomal RNA is filed under the name uncultured bacterium. Its description in RNAcentral is "partial 16S ribosomal RNA". It matches the Rfam family "Bacterial small subunit ribosomal RNA", at positions 338 to 795 of the family's 1533-position model. The record is from RNAcentral.
CCUACGGGAGGCAGCAGUGAGGAAUAUUGGUCAAUGGCCGCAGGGCUGAACCAGCCAAGUCGCGUGAGGGAUGACGGUCCUAUGGAUUGUAAACCUCUUUUGUCAGGGAGCAAAGGGCGCCACGUGUGGCGCUUUGCGAGUACCUGAAGAAAAAGCAUCGGCUAACUCCGGGCCAGCAGCCGCGGUAAUACGGAGGAUGCGAGCGUUAUCCGGUUUUAUUGGGUUUAAAGGGUGCGCAGGCGGAAUGUCAAGUCAGCGGUAAAAUUUCGGGGCUCAACCCCGUCGUGCCGUUGAAACUGGCGUUCUUGAGUGAGCGAGAAGUAUGCGGAAUGCGUGGUGUAGCGGUGAAAUGCAUAGAUAUCACGCAGAACUCCGAUUGCGAAGGCAGCAUACCGGCGCUCAACUGACGCUCAUGCACGAAAGCGUGGGUAUCGAACAGGAUUAGAUACCCUAGUAGUC